This 249-nucleotide ribosomal RNA is filed under the name Mutinus elegans. RNAcentral's name for it is "partial 28S ribosomal RNA". It matches the Rfam family "Eukaryotic large subunit ribosomal RNA", at positions 104 to 344 of the family's 3401-position model. Lineage: Eukaryota; Fungi; Basidiomycota; Agaricomycetes; Phallales; Phallaceae. The record is from RNAcentral.
AGAGCUCAAAUUUGUAAUCUGACGGUCCACGGCCGUCCGAGUUGUAAUCUGGAGAAGCGUUUUCGAGCGCCGGCCCGCGUACAAGUCCCCUGGAACGGGGCGUCGCAGAGGGUGAGAAUCCCGUCUCUGACGCGGUUCGGCCGGCGCGUUGCGAUGCGCUCUCGAAGAGUCGAGUUGUUUGGGAAUGCAGCUCAAAACGGGUGGUAAAUUCCAUCUAAAGCUAAAUACAGGCGAAAGACCGAUAGCGAA